Molecule: long non-coding RNA, 318 nt
Organism: Physella acuta
Lineage: Eukaryota; Metazoa; Mollusca; Gastropoda; Physidae
Source: RefSeq, a predicted model, not a curated record
UUCAGUGCGAGCGAUACGUUGAAGCUACAUUACUCACUCUCCUAGCGUUAAUAGAUUUGACAGGAAACAGGUUUAGUUUUUGUACUUAUCUACGUUCUUUAAAGAUGCGACCCAAGCAUUUUGAAAACAUCGUUCAACAUCACAAAACUUACCUGGAUCAGAAAAUUAUCGAUCUUCAGUACGUGCUUCAGAUACUUAGAAACGCAUCAGACUUAAGCAAAGAAUGGCUGGAGAAUCCUCACCACCAUUUAGGCUAUACAGAACUCAAUCAACAGAUUGAACAUGCGAUAUCAUCUCUAUGUAACGAGGCCAUGAAGA